UUCUUCAGAGAGUUUUAGUCGUUUGUAAUUAAGUAUGACUGAAGCAUCUGAGGGAGA
This 57-nucleotide microRNA precursor is filed under the name Cavia porcellus (domestic guinea pig). Lineage: Eukaryota; Metazoa; Chordata; Mammalia; Rodentia; Caviidae. The record is from RNAcentral.